Long non-coding RNA from Triticum dicoccoides, 491 nucleotides. RefSeq lists it as uncharacterized. The record is from RefSeq and is a predicted model, not a curated record. NCBI's taxonomy places the organism in Eukaryota, Viridiplantae, Streptophyta, Magnoliopsida, Poales, Poaceae. The transcript has 4 exons.
UAAGGCACAAGCAUUUCUGAUUUUCUAGAGAUUCAGAAUCAAUUCAUUGGGGCAAACGGUCCAGCCUGCAAUUGAGGCAUGCCGGCUGUUCUACAUCCCAGCAUGACGGAUGGGCCCUGUAAAUUUGGGACAAUGGUAGGGAAAACGCGACGGAUGGGCCCUUGUACAAAAGGAACAUGCUUACAAGGGUUAUACAAGUAUAUGACCCUCAUCUGGGCCAAAUGGAUGCAACCAGGAUGAGCAGGCUAGACACGAGCUUAUCACGUCUCGCCUCCACGAUGCAUUGUUCGGCUGCCUAAACAACUUACAUGCUGGGUGGCCAACACCCAAGGAUAACUGGUCCACUGUUUUCCCCCGUAUCAUGGAUACCUAAAUCACCAGAGGAAACAGGUAUUUGUGUUAUGCACAUCACCAGGCACCAUGAUGUUGAGAAGCUACGAAUGCCUAUCACCAAGAUUAACUUGGCGAAAACUAAGAAAAUCCAUUCUGCA